AACACGUGGGCAACCUGCCUCAUAGAGGGGAAUAGCCUUUCAAAGGAAGAUUAAUACCGCAUAAGAUUGUAGCUUCGCAUGAAGUAGCAAUUAAAGGAGCAAUCCGCUAUGAGAUGGGCCCGCGGCGCAUUAGCUAGUUGGUGAGGUAACGGCUCACCAAGGCGACGAUGCGUAGCCGACCUGAGAGGGUGAUCGGCCACAUUGGGACUGAGACACGGCCCAGACUCCUACGGGAGGCAGCAUG
RNAcentral lists this ribosomal RNA (244 nucleotides) under uncultured bacterium. Its description in RNAcentral is "partial 16S ribosomal RNA". It matches the Rfam family "Bacterial small subunit ribosomal RNA", at positions 112 to 353 of the family's 1533-position model. The record is from RNAcentral.